AUGAAUAUAUUUUGCGAGGGUCCCGAGUGAGCAGAGCGUUAGCGCCUGCUGCCGGGUUAAUAGGGAAGCCGGUGGAAGUCCGGCACGGUCCCGCCACUGUGAAACAGGAAUUUCUCCUCAUUGCCACUGGGCUAUUUUGGUCUGGGAAGGCGGAGAAAUAUGCAACGGCCUGUAAGUCAGGAGACCUGCCCUUUGCGAAUGAAUGUC
This 207-nucleotide non-coding RNA is filed under the name Paenibacillus sp. The record is from RNAcentral. RNAcentral also lists the same sequence under 1 other name. Lineage: Bacteria; Bacillati; Bacillota; Bacilli; Caryophanales; Paenibacillaceae.